UUGCUAGAUUGAUGGCGAGUGGCGAACGGGUGAGUAAUACAUCGGAACGUGCCCUGUAGUGGGGGAUAACUAGUCGAAAGAUUAGCUAAUACCGCAUACGACCUGAGGGUGAAAGUGGGGGACCGCAAGACCUCAUGCUAUAGGAGCGGCCGAUGUCUGAUUAGCUAGUUGGUGGGGUAAAGGCCCACCAAGGCGACGAUCAGUAGCUGGUCUGAGAGGACGAUCAGCCACACUGGGACUGAGACACGGCCCAGACUCCUACGGGAGGCAGCAGUGGGGAAUUUUGGACAAUGGGCGAAAGCCUGAUCCAGCAAUGCCGCGUGUGUGAAGAAGGCCUUCGGGUUGUAAAGCACUUUUGUCCGGAAAGAAAUGGCUCUGGUUAAUACCUGGGGUCGAUGACGGUACCGGAAGAAUAAGGACCGGCUAACCACGUGCCAGCAGCCGCGGUAAUACGUAGGGUCCAAGCGUUAAUCGGAAUUACUGGGCGUAAAGCGUGCGCAGGCGGUUGUGCAAGACCGAUGUGAAAUCCCCGAGCUUAACUUGGGAAUUGCAUUGGUGACUGCACGGCUAGAGUGUGUCAGAGGGGGGUAGAAUUCCACGUGUAGCAGUGAAAUGCGUAGAGAUGUGGAGGAAUACCGAUGGCGAAGGCAGCCCCCUGGGAUAACACUGACGCUCAUGCACGAAAGCGUGGGGAGCAAACAGGAUUAGAUACCCUGGUAGUCCACGCCCUAAACGAUGUCAACUAGUUGUUGGGGAUUCAUUUCCUUAGUAACGUAGCUAACGCGUGAAGUUGGCCGCCUGGGGAGUACGGUCGCAAGAUUAAAACUCAAAGGAAUUGACGGGGACCCGCACAAGCGGUGGAUGAUGUGGAUUAAUUCGAUGCAACGCGAAAAACCUUAC
RNAcentral lists this ribosomal RNA (900 nucleotides) under uncultured bacterium. Its description in RNAcentral is "bacterial SSU rRNA". It matches the Rfam family "Bacterial small subunit ribosomal RNA", at positions 77 to 974 of the family's 1533-position model. The record is from RNAcentral.